GAAGGGCUCGCGGCUGAUUAGCUAGUUGGAGUGGUAAAGGCACACCAAGGCAACGAUCAGUAACUGGUCUGAGAGGAUGAGCAGUCACACUGGAACUGAGAAACGGUCCAGACUCCUACGGGAGGCAGCAGUGGGGAAUUUUCCGCAAUGGGCGAAAGCCUGACGGAGCAAUACCGCGUGAGGGAGGAAGGUUCUUGGAUUGUAAACCUCUUUUCUAGGGGAAUAAAAAAAUGAAGGUACCCUAGGAAUAAGCAUCGGCUAACUCCGUGCCAGCAGCCGCGGUAAUACGGAGGAUGCAAGCGUUAUCCGGAAUUAUUGGGCGUAAAGAGUCCGUGGGUGGAAGUUCAAGUCUGCGGUCAAAGAAUGGAGCUUAACUCCAUAGAGGCCGUGGAAACUGAGCAACUAGAGUGCGGUAGGGGUAACGGGAAUUCCCAGUGUAGCGGUGAAAUGCGUAGA
This 456-nucleotide ribosomal RNA is filed under the name uncultured cyanobacterium. RNAcentral describes it as "bacterial SSU rRNA". It matches the Rfam family "Bacterial small subunit ribosomal RNA", at positions 224 to 694 of the family's 1533-position model. The record is from RNAcentral. Lineage: Bacteria; Bacillati; Cyanobacteriota.